Molecule: long non-coding RNA, 950 nt
Organism: Lepisosteus oculatus (spotted gar)
Lineage: Eukaryota; Metazoa; Chordata; Actinopteri; Semionotiformes; Lepisosteidae
Source: RefSeq, a predicted model, not a curated record
CCGCGCACCUGUCCGCCGGGUUCUGCGAGAGAGAAGGGAGCUGGUGUGGGGUCUUCGGGCAGGACACGCUUGGCUCAGCUGCUGCAAUGAUCAAUGCUUCUGCUGUAUCCUGGCGAGUCUCUGGGCUCUGAUCGGCGGCUGUCGGAUCCUCCAGGGCGUGGAGACCUGAUCGCAGACCCACUCGUGUACCGCGGUGGAUUCACAGGCGAGUCCGGGUCUCUUCUUCAAAGCGGACUUUCAAGCCGGCUUCCUCCAGGACUGAAGAUCGCUUUCAGGGUGGCGUUGUAACUCUUACCGGUAUCGCUGACUCUCGGACCAGGCGAGUCAAACCGCUGGUACUAGACCCGGUCCUGUAUGCGGCCUUACUGUGCCCUGCAGCUCCGGCUGGGUUUUCAUCCUCCGAAGGCGGUUUGCAUGAAGACGCACCGACCGCUCUGUUUAGCUUGAACUGGGGGAAACUUGUAACUUGAGUUUGCGGUAACUGGAGCCCAGCCGUGUGAGACCCGGCGAGAAAACGGUUUCCAACGGUGCGAGGAGAGAGAGAGAAACCGCUUAUCUGCUCCCAAAACACCACCUGCUUCUGUCCUGCCCGAAAGGUUAAAAGCAAGAGAUUUAAAUUUUGGCUCAAUCUCUCGUAGAAAACGGUUGCUGGAUUUAGCAAAAUCUGUAAGAAACAUUUCAUGCGUUUUUCUUUUUCGGCAGCCCAGCUGAGCACCUGUACCGGCAGAGCAACGGGGUGACAGCCGAACUCCCCCCCCCAAGAUCACCCCCUCACUCGGCGUGGGACGGCCCCUAUUUAUAAUCCGAAUCCUGGUGAGCGAGAAAAGGACGGCAAAGGUAGCUAAUUAAGAGACACCGGGGACCGAGCUGGGACUUUGGAUACCAGUACAAUAACACUGCUAUAUAUUGUAAUUGUUUUUAUGCUUUCUACCCUUGUAUGCUGUAAUAAA